CAGCCGGUUAUCUAUAUACAUGUCCCUCACUGAAUAAAUACAAUCAAUUACCAUAAAAAUCCAAGGAAAAUGCAAAUAAUGAGUUCCCAGUGAAUAAAACUUCACAUAUGCUGUGAAGUAACAAUUGUAAGACAUGAAGAAUUAUCGGCGGAGACAAGUUCCUGGUGCUGAACGUUGGCCGAAGACGUAAUAAAAGACAAAAACAACCAAACAAACCGAGAAGACUCUACAAGUAAACACUACCAAGUUCUACAGUAACGUUCAAGCACAGUACCUGACAGACUUGACAAGAAAAGUUUUUGCAGUAACCAAGCUAGUAAGUGUUGUGCCCGGCUUUAAAUGAGAGAGAAUUG
Molecule: long non-coding RNA, 353 nt
Organism: Hyla sarda
Lineage: Eukaryota; Metazoa; Chordata; Amphibia; Anura; Hylidae
Exons: 3
Source: RefSeq, a predicted model, not a curated record